RNAcentral lists this ribosomal RNA (274 nucleotides) under uncultured bacterium. Its description in RNAcentral is "partial 16S ribosomal RNA". It matches the Rfam family "Bacterial small subunit ribosomal RNA", at positions 523 to 796 of the family's 1533-position model. The record is from RNAcentral.
AUACGUAGGGUGCGAGCGUUAAUCGGAAUUACUGGGCGUAAAGCGCGCGUAGGCGGCUAAUUAAGUCAAAUGUGAAAUCCCCGAGCUUAACUUGGGAAUUGCAUUCGAUACUGGUUAGCUAGAGUGUGGGAGAGGAUGGUAGAAUUCCAGGUGUAGCGGUGAAAUGCGUAGAGAUCUGGAGGAAUACCGAUGGCGAAGGCAGCCAUCUGGCCUAACACUGACGCUGAGGUGCGAAAGCAUGGGGAGCAAACAGGAUUAGAAACCCCGGUAGUCC